UGGGGAAUAUUGCACAAUGGGCGAAAGCCUGAUGCAGCGACGCCGCGUGAGGGAUGACGGCCUUCGGGUUGUAAACCUCUUUCAGUAGGGACGAAGCGCAAGUGACGGUACCUGCAGAAGAAGCACCGGCUAACUACGUGCCAGCAGCCGCGGUAAUACGUAGGGUGCGAGCGUUGUCCGGAAUUACUGGGCGUAAAGAGCUCGUAGGCGGUUUGUCACGUCGUCUGUGAAAUCCUAGGGCUUAACCCUGGACGUGCAGGCGAUACGGGCUGACUUGAGUACUACAGGGGAGACUGGGAUUUCUGGUGUAGCGGUGGAAUGCACAGAUAUCAGGAAGAACACCGAUGGCGAAGGCAGGGCUCUGGGUAGUAACUGACGCUGAGGAGCGAAAGCAUGGGUAGCGAACAGG
This 409-nucleotide ribosomal RNA is filed under the name bacterium. RNAcentral describes it as "partial 16S ribosomal RNA". It matches the Rfam family "Bacterial small subunit ribosomal RNA", at positions 355 to 776 of the family's 1533-position model. The record is from RNAcentral.